Molecule: ribosomal RNA, 425 nt
Filed under: uncultured bacterium
Lineage: Bacteria
Description: partial 16S ribosomal RNA
Rfam family: Bacterial small subunit ribosomal RNA
Source: RNAcentral
GUGGGGAAUCUUGCGCAAUGGGCGAAAGCCUGACGCAGCCAUGCCGCGUGAAUGAUGAAGGUCUUAGGAUUGUAAAAUUCUUUCACCGGGGACGAUAAUGACGGUACCCGGAGAAGAAGCUCCGGCUAACUUCGUGCCGGCAGCCGCGGUAAUACGAAGGGGGCUAGCGUUGCUCGGAAUUACUGGGCGUAAAGGGCGCGUAGGCGGACAGCUUAGUCAGAGGUGAAAGCGCAGGGCUCAACCUUGGAAUUGCCUUUGAUACUUGCUGUCUUGAGUUUGGGAGAGGUGAGUGGAACUCCGAGUGUAGAGGUGAGAUUCGUAGAUAUUCGGAAGAACACCAGUGGCGAAGGCGACUCACUGGCCCAAUACUGACGCUGAGGCGCGAAAGCGUGGGGAGCAAACAGGAUUAGAUACCCGAGUAGUCC